GAUCAGGCUCAGGGUGAACGCUGGCGGCGUGCCUAAUACAUGCAAGUCGAACGCUUUGUGGUUCAACUGAUUUGAAGAGCUUGCUCAGAUAUGACGAUGGACAUUGCAAAGAGUGGCGAACGGGUGAGUAACACGUGGGAAACCUACCUCUUAGCAGGGGAUAACAUUUGGAAACAGAUGCUAAUACCGUAUAACAAUAGCAACCGCAUGGUUGCUACUUAAAAGAUGGUUCUG
This 234-nucleotide ribosomal RNA is filed under the name uncultured bacterium. RNAcentral's name for it is "partial 16S ribosomal RNA". It matches the Rfam family "Bacterial small subunit ribosomal RNA", at positions 15 to 217 of the family's 1533-position model. The record is from RNAcentral.